RNAcentral lists this unclassified non-coding RNA (236 nucleotides) under soil metagenome. RNAcentral's name for it is "partial contains small subunit ribosomal RNA, internal transcribed spacer 1, and 5.8S ribosomal RNA". The record is from RNAcentral.
UUUCCGUAGGUGAACCUGCGGAAGGAUCAUUAACGCUCCCGCGUCCAACCUCACCGGCGGAGUCCGGGGGAGGGGCCCCGCGCCCCGACCCCGACCCUCCGGCGAGCACCCGUGACCGGUUGAAGUCCACCCCCGUGCACCUCACGACCUGCCUGAUCGACGAGGUGGCCCUCCGGGGUCCACCGCGAGACGUGAGAAAGGGACCACAACUUUUAACAACGGAUAUCUCGGUUCCC